This is a long non-coding RNA of Polypterus senegalus (gray bichir), 237 nucleotides long. RefSeq lists it as uncharacterized. The transcript is spliced from 3 exons. The record is from RefSeq and is a predicted model, not a curated record. Lineage: Eukaryota; Metazoa; Chordata; Cladistia; Polypteriformes; Polypteridae.
GUCAUGACGGCAGACACCCAAAGAGUUUUGGCUUUGCCAGAAUCACCAAGACUUACCAUUCAAGGUGAAACACCAGUGACUUUGGUGCGUUGGGUGGUGUCCAUUGAGGGACAGGCACACUCAGACUCUGUGGCACGGUUGGCUAGGAAGCUUCUACAACUUCAACCUGCAGUACCAAGUGGACGGUAGUCACAGCCUGGAAUUCAUUCAAAGUUUUCUGUGGUGGCGACCUGCACC